RNAcentral lists this ribosomal RNA (253 nucleotides) under uncultured bacterium. RNAcentral's name for it is "partial 16S ribosomal RNA". It matches the Rfam family "Bacterial small subunit ribosomal RNA", at positions 524 to 776 of the family's 1533-position model. The record is from RNAcentral.
UACGAAGGGGGCUAGCGUUGCUCGGAAUGACUGGGCGUAAAGGGCGCGUAGGCGGUUCAUACAGUCAGAUGUGAAAUUCCCGGGCUUAACCUGGGGGCUGCAUUUGAUACGUGUGGGCUUGAGUGAGGAAGAGGGUUGUGGAAUUCCCAGUGUAGAGGUGAAAUUCGUAGAUAUCAGGAGGAACACCUGUGGCGAAAGCGGCUCACUGGACCAUAACUGACGCUGAUGCACGAAAGCUAGGGGAGCAAACAGG